CCUAAACCGACACAGGUAGUCGAGGAGAAUAUCCUAAGGCGCUCGAGUGAUCCGUUGUAAAGGAACUAGGCAAAUUGACGCUGUAACUUCGGGAUAAGGCGUGCCGCAGUGAUGCGGCCUCAGUAAAAUGGUCCAACCAACUGUUUAACAAAAACACAGGGCCCUGCAAAAUCGAAAGAUGACGUAUAGAGCCUGAUACCUGCCCGGUGCUGGAAGGUUAAGGAAGGAUGUUCGGCGCAAGCCAAAGCUUCUGACUGAAGCCCCAGUAAACGGCGGCCGUAACAAUAACGGUCCUAAGGUAGCGAAAUUCCUUGUCGGGUAAGUUCCGACCUGCACGAAUGGUCUAAUGAGUUGGACACUGUCUCUACCACGAGCUCGGUGAAAUUGUAGUAUCGGUGAAGAUGCCGGUUAAUCGCAACGGGACGGAAAGACCCCGUGAACCUUCACUACAACUUGACAUUGAUUUUGAAUGCCAGAUGUGUAGGAUAGUUGGGAGACUUUGAAGCAGCUUCGCUAGGAGUUGUGGAGUCGUCGUUGAAAUACAAACCUUCUGUUAUUUAGAGUCUAACUCCUGUAAGGGAGGACAUUGUUUGGUGGGUAGUUUGACUGGGGUGGUCGCCUCCUAAAAAGUAACGGAGGCUUGCAAAGGUACCCUCAGUACGGUUGGUAAUCGUACGCAGAGCGCAUUAGUAUAAGGGUGCUUGACUGUGAGGCAAACAAGCCGAGCAGGAGCGAAAGCUGGCUAAAGUGAUCCGGUGGUUCUGAAUGGAAGGGCCAUCGCUCAAAGGAUAAAAGGUACUCCGGGGAUAACAGGCUGAUCUCACCCAAGAGCUCAUAUCGACGGUGAGGUUUGGCACCUCGAUGUCGGUUCGUCACAUCCUGGGGCUGGAGAAGGUCCCAAGGGUUCGGCUGUUCGCCGAUUAAAGUGGCACGUGAACUGGGUUCAGAACGUCGCAAGACAGUUCGGUCCCUAUCUGUUGUGAUCGUUAGUAAAUUGAGAGGACAUGACCUUAGUACGAGAGGACCGGGUCGUACGUACCGCUGGUGUAUCUGUUGUGCCGCCAGGUGCAGUGCAGAGUAGCUAUGUACGGGCAAGAUAAACGCUGAAAGCAUCUAAGCGUGAAACUUACCUCGAGAUGAGUUUACUUUUAAGGGCCGUCGGAGACUACGACGUUGAUAGGCUACAGGUGUAAGGAUAGUAAUAUCGAAGCCGAGUAGUACUAAUUGCCCGUAAGCUUUAAUAA
Molecule: ribosomal RNA, 1244 nt
Filed under: metagenome
Description: bacterial LSU rRNA
Rfam family: Bacterial large subunit ribosomal RNA
Source: RNAcentral